Molecule: transfer RNA, 76 nt
Filed under: Staphylococcus argenteus
Lineage: Bacteria; Bacillati; Bacillota; Bacilli; Caryophanales; Staphylococcaceae
Description: tRNA-Thr
Rfam family: tRNA
About the family: Transfer RNA (tRNA) molecules are approximately 80 nucleotides in length.
Source: RNAcentral
GCCGGCCUAGCUCAAUUGGUAGAGCAACUGACUUGUAAUCAGUAGGUUGCGGGUUCAAGUCCUCUGGCCGGCACCA